This 1187-nucleotide long non-coding RNA is filed under the name Apis mellifera (honey bee). RNAcentral describes it as "uncharacterized LOC102653761, transcript variant X3". Lineage: Eukaryota; Metazoa; Arthropoda; Insecta; Hymenoptera; Apidae. The record is from RNAcentral.
AUUUAUCAAUAAUUUAUCAAUAUCUGUCACAGAAAUUUAUCUUUAACUAAGGAAAAGUAUUAAAUAAUUUGGAACAUUAAAAUCAAUGCUUCAACGAUGAUUUCUCUUCAAAUGAUGAAUCCAGUUAAAUAUUAAAUUAUCAAUAAUUUAUCAAUAUCUGUCACAGAAAUUUAUCUUUAACUAAAGAAAAGUAUCAAAUAAUUUGGACCAUUAAAAUCAAUGCUUCAACGAUGGUAAAUUAAUAAUAACAAUUUCUAAAAGAAAAUAUUAAUUGGAAAAAUAAAUUUAUUAAAUUGAGAAGAGAAUCAUGAAGGUGAAAAGUCAAUGGGAAGGCAAUAAAAAAUGUUACCAAUAAAAAUCCAUCAAAGGGAAGUGAACGGAGGUUGUAGGAGAAGAUCAUGAUGCGCGAUAUCGGCGAUCAGUGAACGCUUAUUCCGUUUCCGGUUCCGGUUCGUCGAGCCACAUCACUUUCCCAUGAAAUGAUCUCGCCUCCACGAGCAAAGCCUUUAUAUCGACUUGGCGAUUCGAAAAGAAUCGCUGCCCCACCCUUUCAGUUUCGAUUGACACGCAAGCGAGUAUCUGUGAGGAGUCAGUGAACAGAAGAGGGAAAUCCUUUCUGAAAAUGAAUCUGAAAGAAAAUUUGAAGAUAAAAAAAUUUCAUCGCCGUGUAAACAAUAUUUAACUUUCAACUUUUAUUGGAACAGAGAUGAUUAGAGUGUGAUGGAUAAUGGAUAAUAUAAAAGGAAAUAUCUUGUGCGAGGAAAUUAUCUACAAUUAUUAUAAAUAGAUCUAAUAUAUUCGAUUGUGAAAUUCGCAAGAGGCGUGGAGAAUCGCAACAUUAUGAAAUAGCGAAAAACAAGAGCAAGCUCUUGUACAACAGCAAACUUACGUGUACAAUUUAUCCUCUGCAUUCUUCAUAUUUAUAAAAUACUGAUGCUGACUGGAAUUAGCCACGACAGUAUAAUUGAUUCUAGAUUGUCUGGCCAAUUGUUCCAAAGAUUGCACAGGAGACUACAAACAACACACAAUAUUAAUUCUCAUUUUGAGGAUCAAAAGUAAGGAAAGCAGCUAAGUUAGCAGUGAACGUAGCCAACAUUAAAACAACGAAUAACCAAUAAGCAGCAACUAGUAUCCUGCUUGAUAACGCUUUGGGUGCCUCGCCGCCACCUUGGGGUGUAAAAGACGUC